RNAcentral lists this ribosomal RNA (250 nucleotides) under uncultured bacterium. Its description in RNAcentral is "partial 16S ribosomal RNA". It matches the Rfam family "Bacterial small subunit ribosomal RNA", at positions 524 to 773 of the family's 1533-position model. The record is from RNAcentral.
UACGAAGGGUGCGAGCGUUAUUCGGAAUGAUUGGGCGUAAAGGGUGCGCAGGCGGCAUGUUAAGUCAACUGUUAAAUAUUCUGGCCUAACUGGAAUUCAGCAGUAGAAACUGGCGUGCUUGAGGGUGGAAGAGAGAAGUGGAAUUCUCGGAGUAGCGGUAAAAUGCGUAGAUCUCGAGAGGAACACCGAUGGCGAAGGCAGCUUCUUGGUCCAUACCUGACGCUCAUGCACGAAAGCGUGGGGAGCAAAC